This 446-nucleotide ribosomal RNA is filed under the name uncultured bacterium. Its description in RNAcentral is "partial 16S ribosomal RNA". It matches the Rfam family "Bacterial small subunit ribosomal RNA", at positions 338 to 795 of the family's 1533-position model. The record is from RNAcentral.
CCUACGGGUGGCUGCAGUCGAGAAUCAUUCACAAUGGGGGAAACCCUGAUGGUGCGACGCCGCGUGGGGGAAUGAAGUUCUUCGGAUUGUAAACCCCUGUCAUGUGGGAGCAAAUUAAAAAGAUAGUACCACAAGAGGAAGAGACGGCUAACUCUGUGCCAGCAGCCGCGGUAAUACAGCGGUCUCAAGCGGUGUUCGGAAUCACUGGGCGUAAAGCGUGCGUAGGCUGUUUCGUAAGUCGUGUGUGAAAGGCGAGGGCUCAACCCGCGGACGGCACAUGAUACUGCGAGACUAGAGUAAAGGAGGGGGAACCGGAAUUCUCGGUGUAGCAGUGAAAUGCGUAGAUAUCGGGAGGAACACUCGUGGCGAAGGCGGGUUCCUGGACAUUAACUGACGCUGAGGCACGAAGGCGAGGGGAGCGAAAGGGAUUAGAUACCCGGGUAGUC